GUUUUACCCAAUGUUUGUAGAAUAUUCCUUGGAAAUUGGACUUUGAACACUACGAAGUGAACUAUCGAACCACCACGUAUGAACGAAUAAAAUUAGAUUAAAUGGCGUGGUUAAAUACCAACGUAUUAGAAUUUUUGGAUCUAUAUCGUAAAGAGCCUGUUCUGUGGGAUCCUAAAAACCCUAAACAUAAAUCAAGAUGCGACAUUGCGGCGGCAUGGGAUAGAAUCCAAACUUCUUUUUCUUUGGAUUGUUCAGUGGUAGAACUUAAAAGGAAAAAAGAAUCAUUAAUGACUUCUUUUAGAAUGCAUCUGAAUAGAAAAAAGAAAAGGUUUGGUAACUAUCAGCCUACAUGGUUCGCUUUUUCAUAUAUGGAAAGUUUCCUUGGCGGGAAUUAUGAAUGUGAUAGCUCAAAUAAAAUGGAACAAGAGCUAUUAAAUAACCCAACAUACGUUCUAUCGCAACAACAAAUGAUAACAGAAAUAAAUGUUGAUGCAAAAAGUAAUACAACUGAAAGUAAUAAUGCAGUGUCAAAAUAUUCAAUGACACCACUUCCUCAAGCAAAUGCUGAUAAAAGACCUAAGAAAAUAAGCAAUUCAAACUUUGUCUUUGUUAAAAAAAAUCUGAAAGAAGAAGCGCAGGAUAUGAAAAAUGACAUAGAAAUAAGAGAUUUUGAUGAAUAUGAUUUGUAUGGACAACUAUUGGCUAAGAAAUUAAGAAAAUUAGAAGAACAUCAGCGAGAUGUUGCCAUGCACGAAAUUGACAAUAUUAUGUUUAGGGCUAAAAUGCAAGGUAGCACCAGUCAAACCCAAAAUUAUACCACUACUCCUUCACCGGUACAUCGCAAAAUGAAAUCACCAAUUUUCAUAGUGACGCAGCAUACUCAUGAAUACGAAGAUGAAAAUGCGCCAUAUCAAGAACAUAUGCAGUCGCAAUCACCAUCGUAGCAUCCUUGUGAAUAUUUAUCACAUAUUUUUUUAAGCCUUAAAUUGUAAGAUUUAGUUAUGAAGGAUAGUUUUUACAACCCUACCUUACAUAUAUUAAAUAAUAGGUUAAAGCGGAUGAAUAUUGUUAAAAGUGGCAACAUUUAAUGUACCACAAGAAGACUGCUAAAGUCUUGGGAUAUAAAACGGGUUAUUUAAUUUCACUUAUAUUGUAAACGAAUGUGUCUGCAUUUUAAUAUGAAAGCCAUUGUUUUAAGUUCGCUUUUUUUUCUUCUUAAAAAUCAAAGAUCAAAAAUCAGCGUCCAAAUGUUAUGGAGGGUAUUCGGAUUUAUUUUCUUAUGUUUGAGAACAAAUGUCCCAUCGGGUCCAAUGUUUGUUAACAACAUGCCCAAUACCAAUUUUUGAGUUGGAUCAAAUAUUGGAAGGUCUGGUAACAAAUGUUUGACCUUAUUGGUUUUUUCUCUUGGGCCAGUUGGGCAUUUGUCCGUAAGGUUUGUCAAUAUUAUUUUUUGUUGUUACAUUUCAAUGUUACAUUUCACUUUAAAAAGAUUUUUAUGUAAUAUACCAAAGUUUAAGCUAAGCAAGUACUAAUAUAUUUCCCAUUAUACGUUUUUUAGGUAAAUAGCUGAUGAUACAUUGUAGUUAUUGUGCCAAAGCUUCGUUUUAUUCUCUAACGUAACUAUUAUAUUCUUAUUUCUGCAGUGCUGUGUGUCGACGUACAGCUACCUAGACCUAAAGGUGUGAGGUCAUAAAAUAAUAUGCGUAAUUGUUUCUAUCCGCUGCAAGUUGGGAUCCCCUAAUGUGACGUGUGUGCCUUUACAUACAAUGUUCACAUUCUGGACUUUGUUAUUGGAUUGCGCAAUAUGAAAUAAUUACGUGUUUUCUCAGUUUCAACGUUUGGUGAUACGAAGGCCGCAGUCGUAAAAAAUAAAUCAAAAUCACUUGUAUGAUGUUUUUUUUUUUGACUGAAUUUUCACUGUUUGCCUUGAAGAGGCAAUUAAAGCUCCACCGGGCUUAAGGUGGCCGAACACGGAUGGCGCUAAGCCUAAAUCUCGUUUAUGAGUAACUAAGCUCAAAGGCCCCCUCAGGAGCCAUCAGGAGCCU
Molecule: RNA transcript, 2045 nt
Organism: Papilio polytes (common Mormon)
Lineage: Eukaryota; Metazoa; Arthropoda; Insecta; Lepidoptera; Papilionidae
Exons: 4
Source: RefSeq, a predicted model, not a curated record